CCUACGGGUGGCAGCAGUGAGGAAUAUUGGUCAAUGGACGAGAGUCUGAACCAGCCAAGUAGCGUGAAGGAUGACUGCCCUAUGGGUUGUAAACUUCUUUUGUAAAGGAAUAAAACGAGGCACGCGUGCCUUUUUGCAUGUACUCUAUGAAAAAGGAUCGGCUAACUCCGUGCCAGCAGCCGCGGUAAUACGGAGGAUCCGAGCGUUAUCCGGAUUUAUUGGGUUUAAAGGGAGCGUAGACGGGUUGUUAAGUCAGUUGUGAAAGUGUGGGGCUCAACCGUAAAAGUGCAUUUGAUACUGGCAGUCUUGAGUGCGGUUGAGGUAGGCGGAAUUCGUGGUGUAGCGGUGAAAUGCUUAGAUAUCACGAAGAACCCCGAUUGCGAAGGCAGCUUACUAAGCUGUGACUGACGUUGAUGCUCGAAAGUGUGGGUAUCGAACAGGAUUAGAUACCCGAGUAGUC
This 460-nucleotide ribosomal RNA is filed under the name uncultured bacterium. RNAcentral describes it as "partial 16S ribosomal RNA". It matches the Rfam family "Bacterial small subunit ribosomal RNA", at positions 338 to 795 of the family's 1533-position model. The record is from RNAcentral.